RNAcentral lists this ribosomal RNA (659 nucleotides) under Peripatopsis balfouri. Its description in RNAcentral is "bacterial SSU rRNA". It matches the Rfam family "Eukaryotic small subunit ribosomal RNA", at positions 995 to 1448 of the family's 1831-position model. Lineage: Eukaryota; Metazoa; Onychophora; Udeonychophora; Euonychophora; Peripatopsidae. The record is from RNAcentral.
GGUUCGAAGGCGAUCAGAUACCGCCCUAGUUCUGACCGUAAACGAUGCCACCUGACGAUCCGCCAGGGUUACUACCAUGACUCGGCGGGCAGUCCCCGGGAAACCCAAGCCUUCGGGUUCCGGGGGAAGUAUGGUUGCAAAGCUGAAACUUAAAGGAAUUGACGGAAGGGCACCACCAGGAGUGGAGCCUGCGGCUUAAUUUGACUCAACACGGGGAACCUCACCCGGCCCGGACACCGCGAGGAUUGACAGAUUGAGAGCUCUUUCUCGAUUCGGUGGGUGGUGGUGCAUGGCCGUUCUUAGUUGGUGGAGCGAUUUGUCUGGUUAAUUCCGAUAACGAACGAGACUCUAGCCGGUUAAGUAGCCCGAGCGGUUUUUGAUAUUUGCCGUUCAUCCCCGUUCGACCUUUGCGUCGUCCCCUUUUUUUCGGUCCGUCUCCCUCCUUUUUCCUUUUCUCUUCCUUUCCCGAUCGACCGCCGUCCCGUCCACUCAUUCGACGGGUGCCGGCGGUUUUCUCGGUUUCGAGGGGGGCGGGCGGCGGAACGGUCCGGUCGGGGGGGUAUACGCUCGGUCGUUUCCGGGUGAAAGCAUAACCCAAGGCCGACGGCUUUUAAGGAAGCUUCUUACAGGGACGAGCGGCGAUCAGCCGCCCGACAUUG